UGAAGCGGGCAGCCGACACCACGCCGUCUGGGCGAGUGAUUUUUGCCUCAGAUGAGUAGGAGGACGUGGCGGUCGUAUGGAAGCGUAUGCGCGAGCGUGCGUGGAACGGCCGCCAGUGCAGAUCUUGGUGUUAGUAGCAAAUAUUCAAACGAGAACCUUGAAGGGCGAAGCGGGGAAGGGUUCCACGCGUACAUUGAUUGGGUGUGGGUAAGUCGUUCCUAAGCCGCGUGGCAAUAGCUAAUACAAAUGGCGAAAGGGAAGCAGGUUGACAUUCCUGCACACGGAUGUGGAGGCGGUGACGCACUUUCUGGGGUAAUGAAGCUGGCUGUGGCACUGGGCAGAGUUGUCUUUUCUGUUUAACCGCUCUCUCACUGUGUGGAAUCCGCUUGUCGGGAGAAACACGUGUUGACGGGCAUAGCGCCGGAGUUUUCCCGGCGUCCAGUUCGCUACGGACGGACCUUGAAAAAUUACCUGCUGGCACGGUCGCUUUUAUUUUUUUUAAAACGCAGAUCUGUGUAUGAAAAAUCCACGCCGUAACGUACCGAUAACCGCAUCAGGUCCCCAAGGUGAACAGCCUCUGCUCGAUAUGAUCAAUGCAGGUAAGGGAAGUCGGCAAAAUAGACCCGUAACUUUGGGAAAAGGGUUGGCUCUAGUGCUGUGUGGGACUGGUUGUUGAGGUGUCCGAGCUGUUCCUGUUGACUCUGCUGCGGAGCUUGCAAAGCUGGAGGACUUGUUUCUUCGGUCGCGCUCGCACUGAAGUAGUGCCUGACGGUUGAACGGUCUUGGCCCGCGACGACGCCCACGGCAUGCAGCAAACUAGAACUGCAACGGGCAAA
RNAcentral lists this ribosomal RNA (836 nucleotides) under Caloglossa apomeiotica. RNAcentral describes it as "LSU rRNA". It matches the Rfam family "Eukaryotic large subunit ribosomal RNA", at positions 1329 to 2127 of the family's 3401-position model. Lineage: Eukaryota; Rhodophyta; Florideophyceae; Ceramiales; Delesseriaceae. The record is from RNAcentral.